AUACGUAGGGGGCGAGCGUUGUCCGGAUUUACUGGGCGUAAAGGGUGAGUAGGCGGUUAUAUAUGUCAGAUGUAAAAGGCGUAGGCUUAACUUACGUAAGCAUUUGAAACUGUAUAACUUGAGUGCAGGAGAGGUAAGUGGAAUUCCUAGUGUAGCGGUGAAAUGCGUAGAUAUUAGGAGGAACACCAGUGGCGAAGGCGACUUACUGGUCUGUAACUGACACUGAGGCGCGAAAGCGUGGGGAGC
RNAcentral lists this ribosomal RNA (246 nucleotides) under uncultured bacterium. Its description in RNAcentral is "partial 16S ribosomal RNA". It matches the Rfam family "Bacterial small subunit ribosomal RNA", at positions 523 to 769 of the family's 1533-position model. The record is from RNAcentral.